CCUACGGGAGGCAGCAGUGAGGAAUAUUGGUCAAUGGGCGCGAGCCUGAACCAGCCAAGUAGCGUGAAGGAUGACUGCCCUACGGGUUGUAAACUUCUUUUAUAAAGGAAUAAAGUGAGGCACGUGUGCCUUUUUGUAUGUACUUUAUGAAUAAGGAUCGGCUAACUCCGUGCCAGCAGCCGCGGUAAUACGGAUGGUCCGAGCGUUAUCCGGAUUUAUUGGGUUUAAAUGGAGCGUAGAUGGGUUGUUAAGUCAGUUGUGAAAGUUUGCGGCGCAACCGUAAAAGUGCAAUUGAUACUGGCUGUCUUGAGUACGGUUGAGGUAUGCGGAAUUCGUGGUGUAGCGGUGAAAUGCUUAGAUAUCACGAAGAACUCCGAUUGCGAAGGCAGCAUACUAAACCGCCACUGACAUUGAUGCUCGAAAGUGUGGGUAUCAAACAGGAUUAGAUACCCUAGUAGUC
RNAcentral lists this ribosomal RNA (460 nucleotides) under uncultured bacterium. RNAcentral describes it as "partial 16S ribosomal RNA". It matches the Rfam family "Bacterial small subunit ribosomal RNA", at positions 338 to 795 of the family's 1533-position model. The record is from RNAcentral.